UACAGAGACUGCAAGCGUUAUUCGGAUUCACUGGGCGUAAAGGGUGCGUAGGUGGCGCCGUAAGUCAGGUGUGAAAUUUCGGAGCUUAACUCCGAAACUGCAUUUGAUACUGCGGUGCUUGAGGACUGGAGAGGAGACUGGAAUUCACGGUGUAGCAGUGAAAUGCGUAGAUAUCGUGAGGAAGACCAGUGGCGAAGGCGGGUCUCUGGACAGUUCCUGACACUGAGGCACGAAGGCCAGGGGAGCAAACGGG
RNAcentral lists this ribosomal RNA (253 nucleotides) under uncultured bacterium. RNAcentral's name for it is "partial 16S ribosomal RNA". It matches the Rfam family "Bacterial small subunit ribosomal RNA", at positions 524 to 776 of the family's 1533-position model. The record is from RNAcentral.